Gambusia affinis (western mosquitofish) is the source of this 1278-nucleotide long non-coding RNA. RefSeq lists it as uncharacterized. NCBI's taxonomy places the organism in Eukaryota, Metazoa, Chordata, Actinopteri, Cyprinodontiformes, Poeciliidae. The record is from RefSeq and is a predicted model, not a curated record. The transcript has 3 exons.
AUACGUUUCUCUAGACAAUUUAUUAGCAGUUCACAGCAAGAUUUUCAUCUUUGUUACAUUGCAGUCCAACCAACAUAGAGUAGAAGAGGUUGAAUUCGACAAGAUUGUCGAAAAGGAAUUACAGCCACCCAACCCACCCAAGCGCAAGAAAAAGAAGAUGUCCUUUGCAGUCUGGUGGGAGCUGUACGCACCUGAGGAGCAAAAAAUGUCUGCUGAAAAUAUCAAACAGCAGGACGCUUCACUGGUGGUCAAAAAUGAAUCAAUUGCAAAAUCACAGGAGACAGUGGAUCAUAUAGGGGACAGACCAACACCCGAGAAUGACUCCAAUGUGAACCAGGUACCAUUUCAAACCUGGUCAGAGGAACACGUCCUGGUUGAGCAAGAGAUUUCUGCAAGAAAUAUUGAAAUGCAGAACGAUUCACUGAUCAGUGAAGAAGUGUCCAUCGCUAGAGUGGAGGAGACAACCGAUAUAGAAGGAACAGCCAACAAAGACCAGGCGCAAGAAGAAGAAGAUACCGUUUCACAUCUGUUUGGAGAAACAUGCCCCUGCUGAUCUAAGUACUGGAACGAAAGAUGCUUCACCAGUUACCGAAAAAGCAUCGAGCUCCGUACUGCAGGAGACAGAGAAGGAACAGUCUUUUAAGCCUUGUGCUGAACAUGUUAAUACGCAGCAUACUUCUCUGCCUGACGAAUGUAAUCAGGAAGAUUAUUUGAAAAAUGAGAUUUACACAGAAGAACCUGUGACUUGUACAACACAGCUGGUCACCAAAAAGAAAUUCAUCUUGAGAUCAGAGAAGAAAGUAGAUCAAAAAGGGAAGAAACAUUCAUCAAAGAACAAGCGCAUCAAAAAGACGCCGCUAUUAUGGAAAUCUUUCCCCGAAUCAGACGCUUGUGUAGAUCUAAUGUUUUUGACACAAAAUAGUGACGUCAAUAACAAUCCUCUGCUGGAAAAUCCAAGUUAUCAGGCAGAUUUGCCCAGCGGAGGAAAGAAGACGUUUUGGAAAGUGUUCCCUGAAUCAGAAUCUCACAUUGAACUAAAUUUCUUCGCUGAACAUAUCGAAGAGCAAGAUGAUUCAGUUCCGGCAAAAUACGGUCAACAGGUCCACUCUUGCUGGGAAUGGGAGCGCGCGGACGGAGACUCUGUGCGUGAAACUUGAUCAGUGUGAUCCCCUGCUCAUCUGUGACCCACACCUCCUCACCACUGCAAGAUUUUAAAUCCCCGUCCUUGUCCUCCGGGUGAAGACGCGUCAUCCCGGUGGAGGAACCAGCUCCAGCUGC